This 309-nucleotide ribosomal RNA is filed under the name Triticum aestivum (bread wheat). Its description in RNAcentral is "partial small subunit ribosomal RNA". Lineage: Eukaryota; Viridiplantae; Streptophyta; Magnoliopsida; Poales; Poaceae. The record is from RNAcentral.
AUGGAGGUAAAAGUAGGCUACGCUGAUGCAAAAUACAGAGGGAAGGGAAAAAGAAGAAGCUUUUGGAGAAUAGUGGAUGCGAGCCCGGCCUGCCAUUGUCUUGGCUCCUUUUCCGCCCUUGAAAAUUUGGAGCAAAGGCAAUGUGAUUGGGGCCUGCUUUAUAUAACACAGAAAAGCGUAUUUCGAGCUGUGCGAAAUAAAGUCAGUCUCGGUUAUUGGCCUCCUUUGAUGUUUUCUGGAAUGUGCUCUACUCUUCCUUCCACUCGGUUAAGCAAAAAACACCAUCUUGAGGCAUACUGUAUGUGGUAA